This 375-nucleotide ribosomal RNA is filed under the name Candidatus Peregrinibacteria bacterium CG_4_9_14_0_2_um_filter_41_14. Its description in RNAcentral is "bacterial LSU rRNA". It matches the Rfam family "Bacterial large subunit ribosomal RNA", at positions 2539 to 2925 of the family's 2925-position model. The record is from RNAcentral. Lineage: Bacteria; Candidatus Peregrinibacteriota.
GUCGCAUCCUGGGGCUGGAGAAGGUCCCAAGGGUAUGGCUGUUCGCCAUUUAAAGCGGUACGCGAGCUGGGUUCAGAACGUCGUGAGACAGUUUGGCCCCUAUCUCCUGUAAUCGAAGGAAAUUUGAGGGAAUCUAUUCCUAGUACGAGAGGACCGGAAUGGACGAACCACUGGUGUAUCAGCUGUCGUGUCAUCGGCAAUGCUGAGUAGCUACGUUCGGAAUGGAUAACCGCUGAAAGCAUCUAAGCGGGAAGCCAAUCCCAAGAUUAGAUUUCCCCAUUAGCCUGCCCAGAGACUAUGGGCUUGAUAGGCCUAAGGUGUAAGCACAGUGAUGUGUUCAGCCUACAGGUACUAAUAGGCGAUUGAACUUAAUUC